RNAcentral lists this ribosomal RNA (340 nucleotides) under uncultured Polymyxa. RNAcentral's name for it is "SSU rRNA". The stretch from base 124 to 340 matches the Rfam family "Eukaryotic small subunit ribosomal RNA", at positions 744 to 955 of the family's 1831-position model. The record is from RNAcentral. Lineage: Eukaryota; Endomyxa; Phytomyxea; Plasmodiophorida; Plasmodiophoridae.
GACUUGUGUGUGUUGCUGUUCAGCGGUCUGCAUUCAAAAGAGUGUUACGACAUGCGGCAGUGGCGCCGUAAAAUUUGCAACUGGGUCGCCGCUGGCCUUAAUUGAUCGGUGGCGUCUGCUCGGUUGCUCGUUUACUGUGAGAAAAUUGGAGUGUUCAAGGCAGGCGUGGAUUGCAACUGAACAUGUUAGCAUGGAAUAAUAAGAUAGGGCUCCGGCUCAUAUUUUGUUGGUUUCUAGAGCGUGGGAGUAAUGAUUGAUAGGGACAGUUGGGGGUGCUAGUAUUCAGCGGCCAGAGGUGAAAUUCAUGGAUUCGCUGAAGACUGACUUAUGCGAAAGCAUU